UACAGAGGAUGCAAGCGUUAUCCGGAAUGACUGGGCGUAAAGCGUCUGUAGGUGGCUUUUUAAGUCCGCCGUCAAAUCCCAGGGCUCAACUCUGGACAGGCGGUGGAAACUACCAAGCUGGAGUACGGUAGGGGCAGAGGGAAUUUCCGGUGGAGCGGUGAAAUGCGUAGAGAUCGGAAAGAACACCAACGGCGAAGGCACUCUGCUGGGCCGGCACUGACGCUGAGAGACGAAAGCUAGGGGAGCGAAUGGG
Molecule: ribosomal RNA, 253 nt
Filed under: uncultured bacterium
Lineage: Bacteria
Description: partial 16S ribosomal RNA
Rfam family: Bacterial small subunit ribosomal RNA
Source: RNAcentral